Non-coding RNA from Arabis alpina (gray rockcress), 88 nucleotides. Lineage: Eukaryota; Viridiplantae; Streptophyta; Magnoliopsida; Brassicales; Brassicaceae. The record is from Rfam.
UAUGGCAAAUGAAGAAUUGAUUUUCUAUGCUUAAAACACAGAUUUAACAGUGUUGACAAACAAUCUCCGCUUAUUAUCUGAUGCCAUA